This is a long non-coding RNA of Branchiostoma belcheri (Belcher's lancelet), 1148 nucleotides long. RefSeq lists it as uncharacterized. Lineage: Eukaryota; Metazoa; Chordata; Leptocardii; Amphioxiformes; Branchiostomatidae. The record is from RefSeq and is a predicted model, not a curated record. The transcript is spliced from 2 exons.
CGCAUCCCCGGGCCCAUGCACUCCACAGCAGAAGCGAAUUCUGGGUAAUCAGGGGAUUUGUUAAAUAUCCGAAUGUGUUUUCGUACGCAUCCGCGGGCCCACUUCACAGCAGAAGCGAAUUCUGGGUAAUCUGGGGAUUUGUUAAAUAUCCGAAUGUGUUUUCGCACGCAUCCGCGGGCCCACUCCACAGCAGAAGCGAAUUGUGGGUAAUCUGGGGAUAUCUUAAAUAUCCGAAUGUGUUUUCGUACGCAUCCGCAAAUUGUUGAAAUUACAAUAUCGCCACAAGAGGGCGCACCCCGUAAAUUGCCAUAUACGUACAUUGUAACGUUGCCUUUGCGCGUCGCAUAAGCAAAUGUCUGCUCGGAUUCGUGACUGUACUGAUUUUUGCUGACUGGAAACUUUGCGUAUCAGACAAGAAGUUGCAUGGUUCACAUACAACCUUCGCCGGUGUCAAAACCGAGCAUCUCUCAAAGAUCCACUUCGGUAUUUUCGACGGAUCCGCAGAGCACUUCCGGCAGCAGCAGUGCCUUGUGGGUAAUCUGAGAAAACCCCGGGGGAGAUUCAAACUCAACGGUCACUUUCAGUGACCGCUUGCUUGAGUGUGCGUCCCUUUCUAUCGUCCCGCUGUCCAUAUAUAUACGCUUCAUAUAAGUUCAGCAACCACGGCAUUGAUUGUCAAAGUCUAGGAUACUGACCGUACACCGACUGGACGCUAUGAGCUAAAUAGUGGUCUAGACAAGGACGAGAGACGUACCGGGGACAUCGCCCGGCGAGGGCACGAAGCCGCCAGGCAUGUCAUGACAAGUUGCAGACUCGUCUGACGAACUGGACCAUAAACCGACUGCAUAAGACUGUUGACGGCAUAUAGAAGUCAGAAGCGACUGAUUGAACGUGGUAAGACUGUCUUCAGCGCAGACUUCUACAAAGACCAUCCUGAUGUGGGACUAGGAGACAGAUGAUGGCUGUAACAACACAUGGGCUGUGAGACGAUCAUCCUGGCGAAGCAAGACGUGAUAGUUCUAGUUUUACCUGUUUAGUAUUGCAAAUAUUUAUUUUACAUACGUAACAUGUAUUCGUAUAGUUAGUUCUCUCUUUUUUUGUCGCUUUACGCAGUAUGAGUUUUAAUAAAGGCUUUCAGGCUAAAUCUA